GCCAUCUUAACUCAGUUGGUAGAGUAACUCUUUCGUAAAGAGUAAGUCCCGGGUUCGAAUCCCGGAGAUGGCU
This 73-nucleotide transfer RNA is filed under the name Candidatus Levyibacteriota bacterium. RNAcentral describes it as "tRNA-Thr". It matches the Rfam family "tRNA". Rfam says of the family: Transfer RNA (tRNA) molecules are approximately 80 nucleotides in length. Their secondary structure includes four short double-helical elements and three loops (D, anti-codon, and T loops). Lineage: Bacteria; Candidatus Levyibacteriota. The record is from RNAcentral.